AUAAAACAGUUCACCCUUAUCUUAGUGUUGUAUUAUUCUUUUUUCUUAUUUUUAAUAAAUAAAAUCUUGCGCGUGGCUAGCCUUCAUGUUUUUGGCCUAUGCAAGUUGUGUUUGAUCCCAAACAAUCCCGCAAAUUUCUGUAGGUAUAUUGAACUUAGAAUCUCGGAUGCAGUUGGAAAAUUCAACGUUAGAUACAAAUACCCAUCAAUUCGAAAUUAUUAUCACUCCCCAGCAUGCAAAUUAUGCUGUGCUGCAUUGAACAUCCUUUAACAUGCAAAACAGAACUUCAAAUUUCAAACUUCAGGUAAAAAACACAAUACAAUAAGAAGAAAAAAAUACAAAGAAAACUGAUUAAUUAAACAUAUGAUUAAUUCACCCAUCAUAGCAACACUGAAUACAGCAUUGGUAGUUCAAUGAUCAAGAGAAAACUCUAGCUUUCAAUAUUCAUGCAGGUUGCAAUUCCUCAACUAAACAAAGGAAAGCCCAAUACAAGAGGAAAGUACCCCUCAAAGCCAGGAAAAACUACCAAGGUCAACUUAACAAUGUAAAUAUAAAAAAUCCCAUGUAUAGCAAUAAAAGAACACUUCUAAAAACCCCACCGAGAAACACUGCCGCUGCACAAUAAGUCUUGUACUUUUUUUUUUUCAAUUUUCUUUAUCUAGUAGUUUAUGAGGAAGCCCGUCUACGUUUCUCACAAGCUUUUCAAUGAAGAAGCAAACCACAAGAAAAC
Prunus persica (peach) is the source of this 730-nucleotide long non-coding RNA. RefSeq lists it as uncharacterized. The transcript is spliced from 2 exons. The record is from RefSeq and is a predicted model, not a curated record. Lineage: Eukaryota; Viridiplantae; Streptophyta; Magnoliopsida; Rosales; Rosaceae.